GAAGGUUAUGUAUUAGAAUUCAUGUUUUGAAAGACUCCAAGAAUAUAAGGAGUAUUCCAUUUUUAUGAGGCAACACAACUUCAUAUUAUACAAGCAAACAAUAACAGUGUGCCUCCCAGAGUAGUUAUGGACUCAAAUACAAAUGUAUUUUCUGCACGGCCCAUAGAACAAACAGUAAAACACCUAGAAAUAUUUAAAAGUCGGUAGACAUCCUGCCCAUGACAAAUCAAUACAUAUACAAUUCAUGUGAAUUACAGAUAUUAUAUUUAGACGUAUAUUUUGCUGACUCUGUGUACAUUAACCUCUUAUUUAUUGGUUUGGCAGUAGAACUAUAUGGCGGCUGGAGGUAUUGCUGAGAAACUGAAUCCUAUGAGUUUCUGACAAAUCUCUCACCCUAGCCUAGUUUUAGGUCCUGCAUAAUAAGAAAUUGCUUCUUGAGAAAUGAAGAACCAUUCAUUGGCAAACCAGUAUCUUCGGGAGGAAAAAAGCCCUCUCUACCAGCCAGUGGAAAAUAUGAUUCUGGUCAGGAGCUGUACACAAAAGGAAAAAGAUGAGCCACACUCCCAAAAGCUUACAAUGUUGACUUGAUAUGAGACAACAAGAUGAAACAAUCAGAGGUUGAGUGAGAAAGAAAAGCACAUCAAAAUGAGAUGGCUUUUUCCUGGACUGCCUACUUAUUUUCUAUCCUUUACUAAGUUAUAUCCAUUUCUGAAGAUCUCCCAAGAAUAACUCUGGUUCCUCAAACGUCAACAAAAAUCAGAGCCAUCAAUUUAAUCUGAUUUUCUCCCAUAAUUUCACAAAGAAUGCUUCCAAGUUUGUCCAUCAUCACAGAGGCCAAAAAGUGUAAUAUAAAGAGAGGAACUGCAGAAUGAGUUAGAUUUCAGAAGGUACUUAGGUCUUAUCCAUAUAAGAGCUUUUUUUCAGUAUAUGUUUAGUUUGUGCAGCCUAAACUGCUUUGCCUCCACACUCAAAUUCUUCUUUUUAAUCUUUCUAUUAUUUUCUUAUGAUGAAUCAUUUUGAAAGUGGCAUAAUUACUUUGGAAUGAGUUAUACCUCUAUGAAGAUUAAAUGAACAUAACCCCUUAAAAAUACAUUAGUUUAGCUAGUCUCCAAUUGCUGUCCCACACUGCAUUUCUUCAGAUCUGGAUUAACUUCAUUGGCAAACUUUUUGGUGUCCAUUACCCUAGGGUCAUCAUGGUUAGAUCAACCCACACUCCUGUUUAAAUUCUGGAACACAUCCAAGGAGAGUCAGGGCAGGUUCACAGGUCCAGAUACAUUAUAAACACUAUGCCACAUA
Non-coding RNA from Pelodiscus sinensis (Chinese soft-shelled turtle), 1296 nucleotides. The record is from RefSeq and is a predicted model, not a curated record. NCBI's taxonomy places the organism in Eukaryota, Metazoa, Chordata, Testudines, Trionychidae.